Molecule: long non-coding RNA, 1889 nt
Organism: Raphanus sativus (radish)
Lineage: Eukaryota; Viridiplantae; Streptophyta; Magnoliopsida; Brassicales; Brassicaceae
Exons: 4
Source: RefSeq, a predicted model, not a curated record
AAAAUUAGUUUUUUUUAUAUAGCAUGAAAUUUGUCACUGGACCUACAUCAACAUUCAACGUAUCGAGCAUCGAAGGGGCAAGGGAAAUUAUGUCAUCUCAUUUUCAAGACUACUAAUUGGAUGGAAUGGUUGGUAGAGCAUUGAAGGGGCAAGGGCAAUUAUGUAUCGUGAAAUUUAUCACUGGACCUACAUCAGCAUUCAACACAAGACUACUGAUUACUGGGAAGUGACACUGACCAUUGCCGUGUUUGUGGGUGCAUAUGAAUGUUUUGAAGUUUGGUCAUGGCUGAAAGAGAUUAGAGUUAAAAGGAUUUUGGAGUUGAUCUGUAAUCUAAUUCGUGCUGGUUAUUCUGAAUAUUCAUGCUCUCUAAGGACAAAUUCAAUUCUCAAUUAAGUACAGUCUCUAGGGGAUAAUUUAAUGGGUUGUAAUUUAAUUCACAUUCUCGGUAGUCUAUUUAACCAAAACAUACAUACUCCUUACUUGCUUAGGUUUAUUAAACACUAUUUUCUUUCUUUAUGUAGAGACCAAGAUACAUGCGUAUACUUGUAUCACUAAUUUAACAACUAUAUGUUACUUUACAAAAUUACAACUAUCCGGUUUCUUAAUAUAUGUAAAAAGAUAAUCAAUCACUUCCUGAAAGAGUAAAACAUAGUGAAAAUAUAAACACUAAAGAGUAGAAGAGACCAAGACCAUAAGCGCCAACACGGUAUGAAUCGCCAAUGAGGUACCACAAGAGAGCAGCCCGAGACGGAGCUGAAUAACUUCAACCAUUGACAACAGAAGGAACACACAGUCCAAGAUGGACCACCCACCUUCUGCACCAACCACACCGAGACGAAGAAGAUCACUGUUGAUAUUUGCUUUACAAACCUCGUACGUUUCUUUGCUGCUCAACAAGUUGAUGGUUAGCUUCAGCCCUUGAGCCACGAGGGAGGAGAAGAGGAAGAAUGCAAAUGAGAUCACUUCGAACAUAACAAGGUCUCGAAGUCACAGAUUCAUGUCGCUCGUCCUCCUCCAGAAGGUCGCUGGCAAGACCUAAAUGCUUCCACGUUAUUGGCCUAGGAUUACUGAUCAGGAGCUGCAACAAGUAUAGUAUCUCAUUUAUUCCAAAAUUAUAGCACUGUUUGAGAAAUUUCUUAGUGCAAGAGAUGUUGGUUGUAUCUGUCGACUGGUUCUUCCCAAAGCAUGUGCAGAGGCAUACUUCCCCAGAAUCUCUCAACCCCCGUUAAAGAUACAAGACAUAAAAGAGAACGAAUGGGUGUUCUAGUUCAGGUUUUAGCCGAAUACAAUGGAAUGAAGAAUGCAAAAAGCAUUCUUUGAUUAAUAUGAAAUAAAACGUGAUUCUUUACAAAUGAUGGUUGCCUAAAUAUAUAGGCUACCAAAACAAAGAUUCUAAAGUUAUCUCCUAACUAAUCUGUAUUUUAUCUAGAACUAGGGUCGGUCCGCCCUACGGGCGGAAAAUUAUAGAAAAACUAUUUUAUAUGAAUUUAAAUUAAUUUUAUGAAGCAUUUUUUUAAAUUAUAGAGUGAAAAUGAUAUUAUAAACAAACAAAAAAAUAGAAUUCAAAAAUUAUGUUGUUAUUUUUAAUAAAUAUUUUUGGACUUAAUAAAAUGAUAGUAACCUUCGCGAUAGGAACAAUCUAAUAUAGUAGGAUUAAUGAUGUCCUUCAUGUACAUAUAAUUAUGCAAUGAUCAUGCCGGAGAAAUAUGUUAAGUAAAAACUUAUAUCAUCUAAGCCAAAACAAUCUUUUGUUAGUGUGACCUUUUGUUAGCUUCGUCUAUGUAUGUUUUAAUUAAAAUGUGAUAGUUUUCUCCUAAUGAAAGUCAUACUUCAACCUCCCUGCCACUUUUUAAACUGAAAACGGUAUUUCAUUAUUAACUGGUUUUGU